GAUGAACGCUGGCGGCGUGCCUAAUACAUGCAAGUCGAGCGAACAGACGAGGAGCUUGCUCCUCUGACGUUAGCGGCGGACGGGUGAGUAACACGUGGAUAACCUACCUAUAAGACUGGGAUCACUUCGGGAAACCGGCGCUAAUCCCGGAUAAUAUAUUGCACCGUAUGGUUCAAUAGUGAAAGACGGCUUUGCUGUCACUUAUCGCUGGAUCCGCGCCGCAUUAGCUAGUUGGUACGGUAACGGCUUACCAAGGCGACGAUGCGUAGCCGACCUGAGAGAGGGGUCGGCCGCCUGGGAGCGGGAACGGGGUCCAGGCGCCUGAGGUAGGGAGCAGUAGCGAACCGGCGGCAGUGGGCGAGAGCAUGACGGAGCAACGGCGAGUGAGUGAUGGAGGCCUUGCGUGCGUGAUACUCGGUUAUGAGGUAUAAACAGAUGUGGAAGGAACUAAGGACGGCGUGACGGUAACUGGUCAAGAAGCAACGGCUAACUACGUG
RNAcentral lists this ribosomal RNA (497 nucleotides) under uncultured bacterium. Its description in RNAcentral is "partial 16S ribosomal RNA". It matches the Rfam family "Bacterial small subunit ribosomal RNA", at positions 28 to 507 of the family's 1533-position model. The record is from RNAcentral.